UAGUGGCGGACGGGUGAGUAACGCGUGGGUAACCUGCCUUACACAGGGGGAUAACACUUAGAAAUAGGUGCUAAAACCGCAUAAGCGCACAGCUUCGCAUGAAGCGGUGUGAAAAACUCCGGUGGUGUAAGAUGGACCCGCGUCUGAUUAGCUUGUUGGCGGGGUAACGGCCCACCAAGGCGACGAUCAGUAGCCGGCCUGAGAGGGCGGACGGCCACAUUGGGACUGAGACACGGCCCAGACUCCUACGGGAGGCAGCAG
RNAcentral lists this ribosomal RNA (261 nucleotides) under uncultured bacterium. RNAcentral's name for it is "partial 16S ribosomal RNA". It matches the Rfam family "Bacterial small subunit ribosomal RNA", at positions 93 to 354 of the family's 1533-position model. The record is from RNAcentral.